Molecule: ribosomal RNA, 460 nt
Filed under: uncultured bacterium
Lineage: Bacteria
Description: partial 16S ribosomal RNA
Rfam family: Bacterial small subunit ribosomal RNA
Source: RNAcentral
CCUACGGGAGGCAGCAGUGAGGAAUAUUGGUCAAUGGACGAGAGUCUGAACCAGCCAAGUCGCGUGAAGGAUGACUGCCCUAUGGGUUGUAAACUUCUUUUAUAUGGGAGUAAAAUGUUCCACGUGUGGGAUUUUGUAUGUACCAUAUGAAUAAGGAUCGGCUAACUCCGUGCCAGCAGCCGCGGUAAUACGGAGGAGCCGAGCGUUAUCCGGGUUUAUUGGGUUUAAAGGGAGCGUAGGUGGAUUGUUAAGUCAGUAGUGAAAGUUUGCGGCUCAACCGUAAAAUUGCAGUUGAAACUGGCAGGCUGGAGUACCGUAGAGGUGGGCGGAAUUCGUGGUGUAGCGGUGAAAUGCUUAGAUAUCACGAAGAACACCGAUUGCGAAGGCAGCUCACUGGACUGCAACUGACACUGAGGCUCGAAAGUGUGGGUAUCAAACAGGAUUAGAUACCCCUGUAGUC